UACGGAGGGGGCAAGCGUUAUUCGGAAUCAUUGGGCGUAAAGGGCGCGUAGGCGGCUUCAUAAGUCUUGGGUGAAAGCCCUCGGCUCAACCGAGGAAUUGCCUUGGAUACUGUGAAGCUCGAGGCUGGAAGAGGGCAGUGGAAUUCCCGGUGUAGCGGUGGAAUGCGUAGAGAUCCGGAAGAACACCGGUGGCGAAGGCGGCCCGCUGGGCAACUGCUGACACUGAGGCGCGACAGCGUGGGGAGCAAACAGG
Molecule: ribosomal RNA, 253 nt
Filed under: uncultured bacterium
Lineage: Bacteria
Description: partial 16S ribosomal RNA
Rfam family: Bacterial small subunit ribosomal RNA
Source: RNAcentral